AGCAGCCGCGGUAAUUCCAGCUCCAAUAGCGUAUAUUAAAGUUGUUGCAGUUAAAAAGCUCGUAGUUGAAUUUCGGGAUCAAUAUUUCGGUCAUGCCGUUGGUAUGCACUGUUAUCAUUGAUUUCUCACCUUCUAAAGAACCGUAAUGCCAUUAAUUUGGUGUUACGGGGAAUUAGGACUGUUACCUUGAAAAAUUAGAGUGUUUAAAGCAAGCUCACGCUUGAAUACAUUAGCAUGGAAUAAUGAAAUAGGACGUUUGAUUCUAUUUUGUUGGUUUCUAGGAUCGACGUAAUGAUUAAUAGGGAUAGUUGGGGGCAUUAGUAUUCAAUUGUCAGAGGUGAAAUUCUUGGAUUUAUUGAAGACUAACUACUGCGAAAGCAUUUGCCAAGGAUGUUUUCAUUAAUCAAGAACGAAAGUUAGGGGAUCGAAGACGAUCAGAUACCGUCGUAG
RNAcentral lists this ribosomal RNA (450 nucleotides) under uncultured Glomus. Its description in RNAcentral is "SSU rRNA". It matches the Rfam family "Eukaryotic small subunit ribosomal RNA", at positions 569 to 1023 of the family's 1831-position model. Lineage: Eukaryota; Fungi; Glomeromycota; Glomeromycetes; Glomerales; Glomeraceae. The record is from RNAcentral.